CUGGGUGCGCUCCAGAAGAACUCCCAGUACCAUGCGCGAAGCGGCGACAGGCCGUUUGAGAGUCCGAUGGCGGUUGCGACGAGCCCGGUGUUGACCAGGAAGUAGGUCGCUGUGGUUGCCGCGAGGGGGACGAGCGUAGGACCCGCAACGUCGCCAUGAAGAACGCAG
RNAcentral lists this unclassified non-coding RNA (168 nucleotides) under fungal sp. RNAcentral's name for it is "partial internal transcribed spacer region". Lineage: Eukaryota; Fungi. The record is from RNAcentral.